Molecule: ribosomal RNA, 745 nt
Filed under: uncultured bacterium
Lineage: Bacteria
Description: bacterial SSU rRNA
Rfam family: Bacterial small subunit ribosomal RNA
Source: RNAcentral
AAGCGAUUUUGAGGAAGUUUUCGGAUGGAAUCGAAAUUGACUUACCGGCGGACGGGUGAGUAACACGUGGGUAAUCUGCCUUAUACAGGGGGAUAACAGUUAGAAAUGACUGCUAAUACCGCAUAAGCGCACGGGGACGCAUGUUUCUGUGUGAAAAACUCCGGUAGUAUAAGAUGAGCCCGCGUCUGAUUAGCUGGUUGGUGGGGUAACGGCCUACCAAGGCGACGAUCAGUAGCCGGCCUGAGAGGGUGAACGGCCACAUUGGGACUGAGACACGGCCCAAACUCCUACGGGAGGCAGCAGUGGGGAAUAUUGCACAAUGGGGGAAACCCUGAUGCAGCGACGCCGCGUGAGUGAAGAAGUAUUUCGGUAUGUAAAGCUCUAUCAGCAGGGAAGAAAAAAGACGGUACCUGACUAAGAAGCCCCGGCUAACUACGUGCCAGCAGCCGCGGUAAUACGUAGGGGGCAAGCGUUAUCCGGAUUUACUGGGUGUAAAGGGAGCGUAGACGGCGCGGCAAGUCUGAAGUGAAAGGCAGGGGCUUAACCCCUGAACUGCUUUGGAAACUGCCAUGCUAGAGUGCUGGAGAGGUAAGUGGAAUUCCUAGUGUAGCGGUGAAAUGCGUAGAUAUUAGGAGGAACACCAGUGGCGAAGGCGGCUUACUGGACAGUAACUGACGUUGAGGCUCGAAAGCGUGGGGAGCAAACAGGAUUAGAUACCCUGGUAGUCCACGCCGUAAACGAUGAU